CCUACGGGCGGCAGCAGUGGGGAAUAUUGGUCAAUGGGCGCAAGCCUGACCCAGCAACGCCGCGUGAAGGAAGACGGCUUUCGGGUUGUAAACUUCUUUUCUCAGGGACGAAGAGAGUGACGGUACCUGAUGAAUAAGCCACGGCUAACUACGUGCCAGCAGCCGCGGUAAUACGUAGGUGGCAAGCGUUAUCCGGAUUUACUGGGUGUAAAGGGCGUGUAGGCGGGGAAGCAAGUCAGAUGUGAAAACCACGGGCUCAACCUGUAGCCUGCAUUUGAAACUGUUUUUCUUGAGUACUGGAGAGGCAGACGGAAUUCCUAGUGUAGCGGUGAAAUGCGUAGAUAUUAGGAGGAACACCAGUGGCGAAGGCGGUCUGCUGGACAGCAACUGACGCUGAGGCGCGAAAGCGUGGGGAGCAAACAGGAUUAGAUACCCCAGUAGUC
This 443-nucleotide ribosomal RNA is filed under the name uncultured bacterium. Its description in RNAcentral is "partial 16S ribosomal RNA". It matches the Rfam family "Bacterial small subunit ribosomal RNA", at positions 338 to 795 of the family's 1533-position model. The record is from RNAcentral.